GAUGAAGAACGCAGCGAAAUGUGAUACGUAAUGUGAAUUGCAAAUUCAGUGAAUCAUCGAGUCUUUGAACGCACAUUGCGCCCCCUGGUAUUCCGGGGGGCAUGCCUGUCCGAGCGUCAUUGCUGCCCUCAAGCACGGCUUGUGUGUUGGGCCCCGUCCUCCGAUCCCGGGGGACGGGCCCGAAAGGCAGCGGCGGCACCGCGUCCGGUCCUCGAGCGUAUGGGGCUUUGUCACCCGCUCUGUAGGCCCGGCCGGCGCUUGCCGAUCAACCCAAAUUUUUAUCCAGGUUGACCUCGGAUCAGGUAGGGAUACCCGCUGAACUUAAGCAUAUCAAUAAGCGGAGGA
Molecule: unclassified non-coding RNA, 345 nt
Filed under: soil metagenome
Description: partial contains 5.8S ribosomal RNA, internal transcribed spacer 2, and large subunit ribosomal RNA
Rfam family: 5.8S ribosomal RNA (bases 1-119)
Source: RNAcentral